RNAcentral lists this long non-coding RNA (576 nucleotides) under Capsicum annuum. RNAcentral's name for it is "long non-coding RNA (CANN_LNC010528)". Lineage: Eukaryota; Viridiplantae; Streptophyta; Magnoliopsida; Solanales; Solanaceae. The record is from RNAcentral.
UAAACAUGAAGUUGCCUACUUCAAUGCUUUUCAACACUAAACUUCAUAUGUUUAAAUAUGUCUAUUUUAUUUUACUUUUAUAUAUAGUAUUCAUCAAUGCCUUGUCAAUUUGAAGUUUUAUUUUCAAAUCUCGUGCUGGCAUCAUUAAAAAUGCUUUGAUCUUCGAAUUAUUAGCAUCAUUAAGAAGAUUUCAACUAUCACUUACAUCUCAGUAAUAAUUAAACUAACAAUGCUGUGAAACAUUGAAUGCAAAGGCUGCCUGUAAAGAGUAAUAUUGAAACAUAAACAAAGUAAAAACAUAUGAACAAAGAAAGUGGACAAUUAUCUAUUUGAUGUCAUUCGUGGGUUGGAGGUUGGUUGCUGUGGCUUCGUCAUUUUAUCCACCACUGUUUCUAUGUAACUUAUAAGCAGCUCUAUGCCUAUACUCAUAGAAUCAACCUGUUUUCUAACCUUGUUCAUCUGAGAAAACAGUGACAAUAGUUGAUUAUGGGAAGCCGAAAAGUGUUUGGUGGUGAAAGGGGCUCCGGGAUUGGAAGCUGCAGUAUUAUUUUCUUGGGAGCUCAUUUUAAGUAUGAA